ACGGGUGCGGAACACGUACGCAACCUUCCCAAAACUGGUGAAUAGCCUUUCGAAAGAGAGAUUAAUACACCGUAACUUAAUGAAGUGGCAUCACUUUAUUAAUAUAGCUCCGGCGGUUUUGGAUGGGCGUGCGCCUGAUUAGGUAGUUGGCGGGGUAAUGGCCCACCAAGCCUACGAUCAGUAACUGGUGUGAGAGCACGACCAGUCACACGGGCACUGAGACACGGGCCCGACUCCUACGGGAGGCAGCAGUAAGGAAUAUUGGUCAAUGGACGCAAGUCUGAACCAGCCAUGCCGCGUGGAGGAUGAAGGUCCUCUGGAUUGUAAACUUCUUUUAUCGGAGAAGAAACCCCAGUUUUCUUGCUGGGUUGACGGUACCCGAUGAAUAAGCACCGGCUAACUCCGUGCCAGCAGCCGCGGUAAUACGGAGGGUGCAAGCGUUAUCCGGAUUCACUGGGUUUAAAGGGUGCGUAGGUGGGCUAGUAAGUCCGUGGUGAAAUCCCCGAGCUUAACUCGGGAACUGCCGUGGAUACUAUUAGUCUUGAAUAUCGUGGAGGUAAGCGGAAUAUGUCAUGUAGC
This 579-nucleotide ribosomal RNA is filed under the name uncultured bacterium. RNAcentral's name for it is "bacterial SSU rRNA". It matches the Rfam family "Bacterial small subunit ribosomal RNA", at positions 102 to 679 of the family's 1533-position model. The record is from RNAcentral.